CAGUCGCCACGGUAAUACAGAGGGUGCAAGCGUUAAUCGGAAUUACUGGGCGUAAAGGGCGCGUAGGUGGUUGCGUAAGUGAGAUGUGAAAUCCCCGGGCUUAACCUGGGAACUGCAUUUGCGACUGGCGAGCUAGAGUAUGGCAGAGGGGGGUAGAAUUCCACGUGUAGCAGUGAAAUGCAUAGAGAUGUGGAGGAAUACCGAUGGCGAAGGCAGCCCCCUGGGCCAAUACUGACGCUCAUGCACGAAAGCGUGGGGAGCAAACAGGAUUAGAUAUCCCCGUAGUCCCUGUCUCUUAUAA
Molecule: ribosomal RNA, 301 nt
Filed under: uncultured bacterium
Lineage: Bacteria
Description: partial 16S ribosomal RNA
Rfam family: Bacterial small subunit ribosomal RNA
Source: RNAcentral